This 359-nucleotide small RNA is filed under the name Opitutales. RNAcentral describes it as "UBA1977 sp002313355 Standard tmRNA". It matches the Rfam family "transfer-messenger RNA". From Rfam's summary of the family: Bacterial tmRNA, also known as 10Sa RNA or SsrA, is named for its dual tRNA and mRNA-like properties. Its role is to liberate the mRNA from a stalled ribosome. The record is from RNAcentral. RNAcentral also lists the same sequence under 1 other name. Lineage: Bacteria; Pseudomonadati; Verrucomicrobiota; Opitutia.
GGGGGUGUUCUGGAUUCGACCUUGGUACUGUAGGAUAUGAUGGCAUACCGGAGAUGAUGGUUGGCUCCGUUAUCAAUCCAUCACCAAAUCAUAAAUGGCAACUCACAAGUUGACCUCAAGAUGGCUGCUUAAAUAAAGCAACCUCGUCCCUGGGCUCAUGCCUGUUAAGCUUGGGGGCGUUGUCUAACAGGUAUAGCUAAAGUCGUGCUUGCGGGGCUUAGCCGUAUAUCCACCGUAGCUGGCCUAGUGUAAGCGUGCUUUUCCGCGUGCACUCGGUAAGACUAAAAGACAAGCUAAGUAUGUAGAGGUUGUAUUUGAACGUUCAAGGGACGCGGGUUCAAUUCCCGCCACCUCCACCA